RNAcentral lists this ribosomal RNA (938 nucleotides) under Candolleomyces candolleanus. RNAcentral's name for it is "LSU rRNA". It matches the Rfam family "Eukaryotic large subunit ribosomal RNA", at positions 38 to 962 of the family's 3401-position model. The record is from RNAcentral. Lineage: Eukaryota; Fungi; Basidiomycota; Agaricomycetes; Agaricales; Psathyrellaceae.
GCAUAUCAAUAAGCGGAGGAAAAGAAACUAACAAGGAUUCCCCUAGUAACUGCGAGUGAAGCGGGAAAAGCUCAAAUUUAAAAUCUGGUGGUCUCUGGCCAUCCGAGUUGUAAUCUAGAGAAGUGUUACCCGCGUCGGACCGUGUAUAAGUCUCCUGGAAUGGAGCGUCAUAGAGGGUGAGAAUCCCGUCUUUGACACGGACUACCGAGGCUUUGUGGUAUGCUCUCAAAGAGUCGAGUUGUUUGGGAAUGCAGCUCAAAAUGGGUGGUAAAUUCCAUCUAAAGCUAAAUAUUGGCGAGAGACCGAUAGCGAACAAGUACCGUGAGGGAAAGAUGAAAAGAACUUUGGAAAGAGAGUUAAACAGUACGUGAAAUUGCUGAAAGGGAAACGCUUGAAGUCAGUCGCGUUGGCCGGGAAUCAGCCUUGCUUUUGCUUGGUGUACUUUCUGGUUGACGGGCCAGCAUCAGUUUUGACCGGUGGAAAAAGUUCAGGGGAAUGUGGCAUCUUCGGGUGUGUUAUAGCCCUUGUUCGUAUACAUCGGUUGGGACUGAGGAACUCAGCACGCCGCAAGGCCGGGUCUUUGACCACGUUCGUGCUUAGGAUGCUGGCAUAAUGGCUUUAAUCGACCCGUCUUGAAACACGGACCAAGGAGUCUAACAUGCCUGCGAGUGUUUGGGUGGAAAACCCGAGCGCGUAAUGAAAGUGAAAGUUGAGAUCCUUGUCAUGGGGAGCAUCGACGCCCGGACCUGACGUUUUCUGACGGCCCUGCGGUAGAGCAUGUAUGUUGGGACCCGAAAGAUGGUGAACUAUGCCUGAAUAGGGUGAAGCCAGAGGAAACUCUGGUGGAGGCUCGUAGCGAUUCUGACGUGCAAAUCGAUCGUCAAAUUUGGGUAUAGGGGCGAAAGACUAAUCGAACCAUCUAGUAGCUGGUUCCUGCC